RNAcentral lists this transfer RNA (71 nucleotides) under Candidatus Woesearchaeota archaeon. Its description in RNAcentral is "tRNA-Gly". It matches the Rfam family "tRNA". Rfam says of the family: Transfer RNA (tRNA) molecules are approximately 80 nucleotides in length. Their secondary structure includes four short double-helical elements and three loops (D, anti-codon, and T loops). Further hydrogen bonds mediate the characteristic L-shaped molecular structure. tRNAs have two regions of fundamental functional importance: the anti-codon, which is responsible for specific mRNA codon recognition, and the 3' end, to which the tRNAs corresponding amino acid is attached (by aminoacyl-tRNA synthetases). tRNAs cope with the degeneracy of the genetic code in two manners: having more than one tRNA (with a specific anti-codon) for a particular amino acid; and 'wobble' base-pairing, i.e. permitting non-standard base-pairing at the 3rd anti-codon position. RNAcentral also lists the same sequence under 1 other name. Lineage: Archaea; Nanobdellati; Candidatus Woesearchaeota. The record is from RNAcentral.
GCGCCGAUGGUUGAGUGGUACAAUAGACCCCUGCCACGGGUCUGGCCCGGGUCCGAUUCCCGGUCGGCGCA